RNAcentral lists this ribosomal RNA (253 nucleotides) under uncultured bacterium. RNAcentral's name for it is "partial 16S ribosomal RNA". It matches the Rfam family "Bacterial small subunit ribosomal RNA", at positions 524 to 776 of the family's 1533-position model. The record is from RNAcentral.
UACGUAGGGGGCUAGCGUUGUCCGGAUUUAUUGGGCGUAAAGAGCUUGUAGGCGGCUUGGCAAGUCUGCUGUGAAAACUCGAGGCUCAACCUCGAGCUGUCGGUGGAAACCGCUUGGCUAGAGUCCGGAAGAGGAGAGUGGAAUUCCUGGUGUAGCGGUGAAAUGCGCAGAUAUCAGGAAGAACACCUAUGGCGAAGGCAGCUCUCUGGGACGGUACUGACGCUGAGAAGCGAAAGCGUGGGGAGCAAACAGG